UGCUCAUUAUCUCUCUCACAGACGUUUUUACUUUCUACCGUUCCAGUUGUUGCAGUUUGCCGUUUUUUUCCUUCUAUGCUUAUACAUCAGUCGCAUUACGAACACACAACCAGCCACUGCGAGUGGAGAUUCUGCUUUGGUGACCACCAACAUGUCCAUGAACCACUACAACUCUGUUGGGUUGAACCAGCCUUGCAACCACAUCAACCACGAGAGGGAUCGAACCAGCCUCUCCCUCUUUUGGGUUUAUCUUCAACCUCUACAACUCUUCGAUUGUCACAAUUUUCUUUAAGGGCGCAGGGUUUGGAUUCGGUCAAUUGAAUGUGGUGAUUUCUGCUGGCUAAUCAGGUUAUUACUGGAAGAAGACUGAACAUUAGGACUUAAUGGAGUCUGUUGCAGAUCCAUUAUUAUUGAAAAUGUGUAUUUAAAGGUUUAUUUUCUCAUGGUCAUCGCUCUUCUCUUCUAUUGGCUUAAAAUCAUUAUUAGUUGUUAUAUCUGUAAUCUAUACAAGUUAGGAUUGCUAUAUCUGCAGUCUAGAAGGAAAUUUCUAGCAACAGAUGAAUCAUUACGAGUGAAGGGAUGUGAAUCUAUGUAUGCUAUUGGUGAUUGUGCUUUAAUAUAUCAACAGAAAAUCAUGUUUUCUUCUACAUAUUGGAGUGGAGACAUUACAAUACUUCUUUAAACAGUUCCCUACCAUAUUGAAGAAGUGCUGGACUAUUUUUUUUACCUAGAGAUACAUUCUGGUGGACAUUUGGGCAUGAGAUUGAAAAUCAAGCACUUUAAAUUCACAAGGUAAACACAUUUGCUACAGAGGUUGUGUUUUUGGAGUGGUGGAAAUUUAAGACUGAAGGAAUUUCAACUCUUUUUUUUUCGAAAGAAGGUUUAAAUAUGAAUAACUCUGCAAGUUGACUCUUACACCUUUUUUUUCAUAGGCUAGCUCCUGACCACAUUACAAAAUUUUCUUUGGCAACUUAGAAAGUACUUCAGAGAUCAAUUAAACUUCUCAACAUCUUUUGGAUUCAUGGCCAUCCCUGCUCCUUCAAGUAUUUGCAAUGCAGAUAUUAGUUAAUUAUUAAUGACAGUUAAAUCAGUUAAUUAGUUAGAAGUCUAUAAUUGUAUACGUAGCUUUGGUUGCAAUUAGUGAAAUGAAAAUUCAGAUGGAAGUAGUGUAUGUUAUAUUAACAUGUUCUUACAAGUGUCAAUUUGAAAGUAACUCUUUUUUUUGUUUGUGUUUUUGAACAUCCAUGUGUUUAAUUGGAGAGAUUUUGAAUGAGAUCUGAUGUUGGCACCCCCAUGGAUGCAAAUGAUAUGAGUACUUUAAGGGUAUAAAAUUUGCAGGUAAAACUCGGAAUAUCGAUCUUGCUGUACAAAUCUUUAAUGGUGCUGCUAACAAGGGUGUGAAGACAACCAACAUUGAUUAUUUACAAUGCGCUCAAAGGAGGACUCUAAUGAAUGAGAUGAUAUUGGAUCCCUCCAUUGCAGACAUGUUUACCAUACUGUGUGUAUUGAACAAUGACUAAUGCAUAAGAACCUUUCGCAUUUGUAAGAAAACAAGGUUGGCAAAAUGAGGCAUAUCUCAAAUAUUUUAUCUUAGAAGAUCAACAUGUAGGUAUUAAAUGGGCCCUUAGUUGAAUUUGUUAUUAACAUUUUUUGUCUAUUUGUUGAAGCCAAUAAUCUCAGGUGAAAGUAGCAGCGCUUGAGAUGAUUGGUUUGGAUGGAGGAACAUUUUCUAAUUCCUUUUUUAUUUCCUACUUCAAUUUCUCCUUAUUGAAAUUCAUAUGUUUGUUUGCAUAAGAGGUUUGUUAGUUUUGGACUAUAAUUAGAAGGAACAGUUCUAAAGAAAAUUAGUCGAAUGGAAGGAGGAUUAAGCAAAGUGCUUCAAUUCUUUUUCUUAUUUGUUUCUAAUAC
Lotus japonicus is the source of this 1908-nucleotide long non-coding RNA. RefSeq lists it as uncharacterized. The record is from RefSeq and is a predicted model, not a curated record. The transcript has 5 exons. Lineage: Eukaryota; Viridiplantae; Streptophyta; Magnoliopsida; Fabales; Fabaceae.